GGUGGUACAACUGGGUCAAAUGGUGGUUCCAUUCCAAGUUUUCUAAGGAAUCUCCAUACUGCUUUCUAAAAUGGUUGUACCAUUUGCAAUCCUAUCAGCAAU
RNAcentral lists this microRNA precursor (102 nucleotides) under Marmota monax (woodchuck). Lineage: Eukaryota; Metazoa; Chordata; Mammalia; Rodentia; Sciuridae. The record is from RNAcentral.